CCGGAAGGUGCGGCUGGAUCACCUCCUUUCUAAGGAGCACCUGGCGCGUCCCGGCUCAGCCGGGCACCGCGUCCAGAGCCACAACUCGGACGCGUGUUCCGAGGUGGUAGCUCACUAGUGGAGCACUGGUUAUUCGGUCUGGGCAGCUGCCUGGGCCAGUUAGUACACCCGCUUGCGGGAGGAACGCUGACGCCGGGGACUGGCCAGGCCGAGCACGCUGUUGGGUCCUGAGGGAACGGCCGCAAGGUGGCAUCCUCAACUAGGGCCGGUGGCCCCGCCUGGUAACGGGCAGGGGAGCCGGAACCGCCCGUAUCUUGAGAACUGCACAGUGGACGCGAGCAUCACAUCUGUAGUUGCCAAGUUAUUAAGGGCGCAC
Molecule: unclassified non-coding RNA, 376 nt
Filed under: uncultured bacterium
Lineage: Bacteria
Description: partial may contain 16S ribosomal RNA, 16S-23S ribosomal RNA intergenic spacer, and 23S ribosomal RNA
Source: RNAcentral